RNAcentral lists this ribosomal RNA (67 nucleotides) under Picipes tubaeformis. RNAcentral describes it as "Polyporus tubiformis partial 28S ribosomal RNA". It matches the Rfam family "Eukaryotic large subunit ribosomal RNA", at positions 1 to 64 of the family's 3401-position model. The record is from RNAcentral. Lineage: Eukaryota; Fungi; Basidiomycota; Agaricomycetes; Polyporales; Polyporaceae.
AUCUGACCUCAGAUCAGGCGGGACUACCCGCUGAACUUAAGCAUAUCAAUAAGCGGAGGAAAAGAAA